This 2651-nucleotide small RNA is filed under the name Pan troglodytes (chimpanzee). RNAcentral's name for it is "processed transcript". The record is from RNAcentral. Lineage: Eukaryota; Metazoa; Chordata; Mammalia; Primates; Hominidae.
GCUGCCUUAGAGCUUCUAGGGUAACAAAGACGUCCCUCAGGAGGAUCCUGAGACUUACUUCCAGAACAGAGCUUCAGGGCGACCACAGGGCACGGCACCUGUACUACUGCCACUUGAAGGAGCGCGUGCUGAGGUCACAGUGCGCUCACCGGGAGGAAGCCUACUUCCUGCUGGCUGCCUGCGCGCUGCAGGCUGACCUGGGCGAGCACCGGGAGUCGGCCCAUGCCGGGAGGUACUUCGAGCCACACUCCUACUUCCCACAGUGGAUCAUCACCAAGAGGGGGAUUGACUACAUCCUCCGGCACGUGCCUACCCUGCACGGGGAGCGCCAGGGCCUGAGCCCCAAGGAGGCCAUGCUGUGCUUCAUCCAGGAGGCCUGCCGGCUGGAGGAUGUGCCCGUGCACUUCUUCAGGCUGCACAAGGAUAAGAAGGAAGGUCGUCCCACCAUGAUCCUGGGACUGGCCCUCAGGGGAGUGCACAUCUACCAGGAGGUGGACCGUGCUCCGCAGCUGCUGUACGACCUCCCCUGGCCCCACAUUGGGAAGCUGGCAUUUCUGGGAAAGAAGCUAGAGAUCCAGCUGGAUGGGCUGCCCGCAGCACAGAAGCUGGUUUACUACACGGGCUGCACCUGGCGGUCCAGGCACCUGCUGCAGCUGCUGCGCGCCAGCCACCAGCUCCACCUCCGCGUGCGGCCCACUCUGCAACAGCUGCGGCAGCGGGAGGAGGCGGAAGAGAAGCAGCACUACCGGGAGUCCUAUAUCAGCGAUGGGCUGGAGCUGGACCUGGCCAGCAGGAGCUUCCCGGGCAGUGGGGUCAGCAGCCAGCACUGCCCCCGCUGCCUCUCACGCCACUCCGCCGACAGCCACGGCAGUUCCUACACGUCAGGCAUCAAGGCCAACUCCUGGCUCAGGGAAUCCAGAGAGAUGUCUGUGGACGUACCCUUGGAGGUCCACGGGCUCCAUGAGAAGGAGCCGUCCUCCAGCCCCAGGACCAGCUGCAGCCACCCCAGCACACGUGGUGACAGCCAAGCCACUCACCAGGAGCCCUGCACCGAGGUCAGGACCAGAGGCCAGAGCGCCGAGGCCGUGCACCAGAUCCAGGAAAUGAAAGCCGGGGUCAGUGAGGAGCAGCACAGCCACGGCCUGGACGACAUGCAGCUGCACCAGCUGGCCCUGCACCCAGCGCCCGCCUCACUCAGCCAUACCUUCCACCGCGCCCUGGACUGCAGGCUGGCAGGCCCCUGCGAGACCAGGGCCACUCUCCCCAGCAAGAGGUCCAGCAACUGUCUCGCCCUGGACCUGUUCGGAGAGGCCCCACCACAGGAGUUUGUGGUGUAGGCACCACCCACCCAGCAGUACCGUCUGCACCGCCAGGCUCAGCCCCUGCCCACCCCACUUCCACAUGGCCCUCGGCCCUUCCUGCCCGCCAGAUGCUGCCUGCACCUCCGCAGCCAGCACGCUCCACAGGUUCACCUGUAAGAGGUGUGGAGCUGGCUCUGACAUCAACCUGGGAGGUGACAAACAGGUCCCGCACCUCAUGCCUGUCUGCCAUGCACCCGGGAGCUCUUUCCCUCAGGGUCUCAGGGAGCCGGUUCAAGGUCUGGCUGUCAAGUGUCCAGAGAGCCAUGGUGUUGGCCCCUGAGGCAGCCUGUCACCCAUCCUAAUCUGGGAGAGAAGGUGACACAGCUGGGCCAGACCCUGGAGAGAGAGCUCUGCAGUUUCCCACACUACCAGCUCCCCAAGAGACAGUCCCGAUGGGCACAGGCUGCCAGAGCUCCCAAGCUGGAGUUCACAGUCGUCAUCACUGUGCAGGACCCAGGUUCCUCCCAGACCUGAACCCCUCUCUGCAACUCCUGUUUGCAAGCGCUGGGCCUGCCAGACAGAGGCCCCUCUUGUGGUGCAAGCCCAGCUCUGUCACCUGAGAUCCAGCCAGAGACCCUCUUCCACCAUCCACAGUCAAUGGCUGUGCUUUCCCUUCCAAGCCAGGGCUUCCAAAGACCCCACUGCCCCGGAGCUGAAGCCGACUCUGCUCCCAUCUCAGCCAUGAGGCCUCAGGACCCACUCUGCUCACAGGUGGCUUCCUUAAGCCAUUGCCCUGGCGGGGGUUGGGUUGGUGCAGCCCAGCUGGCGGAGGGGCAAGGCUUCGGUGACAGAUGGAGAGUGGGGACUAGCUGUGCCUGGCACCUGCUCUGAUCUGGUGGGCUCCACGGGUAGUGCGACCUCGGUUCUGUGGGCUCUGGAAGGCCACCAGGGUAGGGUCUCCCCAAGGCUCCUCCCCCUGCACAACACUCCUGCACACGUGCAAACCUGCUGUCCUCUGCAUUUAGAGGAAUGGCCCAUGCAUCCCUGCUAGUCUCAGGCCCAUCCCAGAGCACUGAGAGGCCACAAUCGUUCAGCCCUGUGCCCUGAACACCACUGCCCCCUUCACUGUCUGUGUGUGGUGAAGACCACGCCACACCACCCUCCAGCUCACUGGAGACAAGCAUGAGCUUGAGCCCCAUGGCCUGGUGCAGGGCUGCGUGCAUUGAGGCCGCCUCUUUGACGGGUCCAUCCAGGGGGACCCUCUCCUUUCUGUGAAAGGGAAUCGUGUGUGUGCCCCAGGCAUGUGUAAUAAAGAACCCGAGCAGAUGCCUCCUGCUUGAACCAGUACCA